RNAcentral lists this ribosomal RNA (440 nucleotides) under Blastocystis sp. subtype 5. RNAcentral's name for it is "partial small subunit ribosomal RNA". It matches the Rfam family "Eukaryotic small subunit ribosomal RNA", at positions 509 to 957 of the family's 1831-position model. The record is from RNAcentral. Lineage: Eukaryota; Bigyra; Opalinata; Blastocystidae.
UUGGAUUGAGACAACGUACAAAUGUUAUCGAUAAACAAUUGGAGGGCAAGUCUGGUGCCACCACCCGCGGAAAUUCCAGCUCCAAUAGCGUAUAUUAACGUUGUUGCAGUUAAAAAGCUCGUAGUUGAAAUGGGGGAUGAAGUAUAUGAUGAAUUUUAUAUUCCUUUAUAUAUUGACCCCCCUCUCCAUUUUAUUAUUAUGGGUAUUAAUUUAUUUGGAAUAAAAAUUGGGCAUUUACUGUGAAAAAAAUUAAAGUGUUUCAAAGCAGGCUUUUGCUUGAAUAAAUUACCAGGGAAUAAUACUAAAAGGUUUUUAUGGCCAAUUUAUUUGGUUUGUUCAUAAAAGCAAGAUUAAAAGGAACAGUUGGGGGUAUUCAUAUUCAAUAGUUAGAGGUGAAAUUCUCGGAUUUAUGGGAAGAUGAACAAGUGCCAAAACCCAAA